Molecule: ribosomal RNA, 588 nt
Filed under: Komagataea norvegica
Lineage: Eukaryota; Fungi; Ascomycota; Saccharomycetes; Phaffomycetales; Wickerhamomycetaceae
Description: [Candida] norvegica partial 26S ribosomal RNA
Rfam family: Eukaryotic large subunit ribosomal RNA
Source: RNAcentral
GAAAAGAACCAACAGGGAUUGCCUCAGUAACGGCGAGUGAAGCGGCAAAAGCUCAAAUUUGAAAUCUGGCAGCCUCGCUGUCCGAGUUGUAAUUUGAAGAUUUCUCUUUGUGAGAGGCGCCUUGUCUAUGUUCCUUGGAACAGGACGUCGCAGAGGGUGAGAAUCCCGUGUGAUGAGGCCGCCGAUCCGUGUAAAGAGUCAUCGACGAGUCGAGUUGUUUGGGAAUGCAGCUCUAAGUGGGUGGUAAACUCCAUCUAAAGCUAAAUAUUGGCGAGAGACCGAUAGCGAACAAGUACAGUGAUGGAAAGAUGAAAAGAACUUUGAAAAGAGAGUGAAAAAGUACGUGAAAUUGUUGAAAGGGAAGGUUAUUAGAUCAGACUUGGCGGCGCGCCAUACCUGUCCUCUUGUAGGGCGGACACUGGCGCGUGUUUGCUGGGCCAGCAUCGAUUCGGGCGGCGGGACAUGGUCCUGUGGGAUGUGGCUGUUUAACACAGUGUUAUAACCACGGGUCUCUGCCGCCUGCCUGGAUCGAGGACUGCGUCUGUUUACAGACUAGGAUGCUGGCGUAAUGAUCUAAUAUCGCCCGUC